Long non-coding RNA from Sceloporus undulatus (fence lizard), 434 nucleotides. RefSeq lists it as uncharacterized. Lineage: Eukaryota; Metazoa; Chordata; Lepidosauria; Squamata; Phrynosomatidae. The record is from RefSeq and is a predicted model, not a curated record. The transcript has 3 exons.
CCCUGGAAACAUUCUGUGCCUGGACUUCUUUGAAGAAAUAUUAGAGGAAGUGACCCAAGAGACCCCAGAAAUCUCCGGAAGAGGAGUGAACACCAAACUGAAUGCAGAAGUGACACUUGGAAGCAUCAAGAAAACUGGCAUGAACAAGGAUUGCAUAGAAAUUGACAGUAACUGGGACCAACAGCUGUAAUUUCCCCUCUGCAAGAUGGAAAACAACAGACAAGUCAACAAUGGCAUCUGUUUUCACUCAGAUUGGGUGAACCAGAUGGCUUAGCAUUGAAGAACUAUGACAGAUGAAGGAACUCAUGGUUUGGAAGAAAUUUGUUGUUGUUGUUAACUGCCUUCACGUCGAUCUCGGCCCAUGGCGACCCUAUAGAUGAGACAUCUCCAGGACCCCUGUCCUCUACUGCUCUGCCCAGCUCCUGCAAACUCAU